CAGCAGCCGCGGUAAUACGUAGGGGGCAAGCGUUAUCCGGAUUUACUGGGUGUAAAGGGAGCGUAGACGGAAUGGCAAGUCUGAAGUGAAAUACCCGGGCUCAACCUGGGAACUGCUUUGGAAACUGUUGUUCUAGAGUGUUGGAGAGGUAAGUGGAAUUCCUGGUGUAGCGGUGAAAUGCGUAGAUAUCAGGAAGAACACCGGAGGCGAAGGCGGCUUACUGGACAAUAACUGACGUUGAGGCUCGAAAGCGUGGGGAUCAAACAGGAUUAGAUACCCUGGUAGUCCACGCUGUAAACGAUGAAUACUAGGUGUCGGGGUGCAAAGCAUCUCGGUGCCGUCGCUAACGCAAUAAGUAUUCCACCUGGGGAGU
Molecule: ribosomal RNA, 373 nt
Filed under: uncultured bacterium
Lineage: Bacteria
Description: bacterial SSU rRNA
Rfam family: Bacterial small subunit ribosomal RNA
Source: RNAcentral